CAGUUGUGAGGAAGGUGGUGUCGGUUAAUAGCGGCAUCAUUUGACGUUAGCAACAGAAGAAGCACCGGCUAACUCCGUGCCAGCAGCCGCGGUAAUACGGAGGGUGCGAGCGUUAAUCGGAAUUACUGGGCGUAAAGCGCAUGCAGGUGGUUUGUUAAGUCAGAUGUGAAAGCCCGGGGCUCGAACCUCGGAACUGCAUUUGAAACUGGCAGACUAGAGUACUGUAGAGGGGGUAGGAAUUUCAGGUGUAGCGGUGAAAUAGCGUAGAGAUCUGAAGGAAUACCGGUGGCGAAGGCGGCCCCCUGGACAGAUACUGACACUCAGAUGCGAAAGCGUGGGGAGCAAACAGGAUUAGAUACCCUGGUAG
This 367-nucleotide ribosomal RNA is filed under the name uncultured bacterium. RNAcentral's name for it is "bacterial SSU rRNA". It matches the Rfam family "Bacterial small subunit ribosomal RNA", at positions 434 to 793 of the family's 1533-position model. The record is from RNAcentral.